AUUGAACGCUGGCGGAAUGCUUUACACAUGCAAGUCGAACGGCAGCACGGGGCAACCUGGUGGCGAGUGGCGAACGGGUGAGUAAUACAUCGGAACGUGCCCAAUCGUGGGGGAUAACGUAGCGAAAGUUACGCUAAUACCGCAUACGAUCUACGGAUGAAAGCGGGGGAUCGCAAGACCUCGCGCGAAUGGAGCGGCCGAUGUCAGAUUAGGUAGUUGGUGGGGUAAAGGCUCACCAAGCCAACGAUCUGUAGCUGGUCUGAGAGGACGACCAGCCACACUGGGACUGAGACACGGCCCAGACUCCUACGGGAGGCAGCAGUGGGGAAUUUUGGACAAUGGGCGCAAGCCUGAUCCAGCCAUGCCGCGUGAGUGAAGAAGGCCUC
This 386-nucleotide ribosomal RNA is filed under the name uncultured bacterium. RNAcentral's name for it is "bacterial SSU rRNA". It matches the Rfam family "Bacterial small subunit ribosomal RNA", at positions 29 to 418 of the family's 1533-position model. The record is from RNAcentral.